Molecule: transfer RNA, 71 nt
Filed under: Camelus bactrianus (Bactrian camel)
Lineage: Eukaryota; Metazoa; Chordata; Mammalia; Artiodactyla; Camelidae
Also listed under: 1 other name
Rfam family: tRNA
About the family: Transfer RNA (tRNA) molecules are approximately 80 nucleotides in length.
Source: Rfam by way of RNAcentral
GGGGGUAUAGCUCAGUAGUAGAGCACAUGCUUAGCAUGCAUGAGGUCCUGGGUUCAAUCCUAGCACUCCAU